RNAcentral lists this ribosomal RNA (468 nucleotides) under uncultured bacterium. RNAcentral's name for it is "partial 16S ribosomal RNA". It matches the Rfam family "Bacterial small subunit ribosomal RNA", at positions 28 to 507 of the family's 1533-position model. The record is from RNAcentral.
GACGAACGCUGACGGCGUGCUUAACACAUGCAAGUCGAACGGAAAGGCCCUGCUUUUGUGGGGUGCUCGAGUGGCGAACGGGUGAGUAACACGUGAGUAACCUGCCCUUGACUUUGGGAUAACUUCAGGAAACUGGGGCUAAUACCGGAUAGGAGCUCCUGCUGCAUGGUGGGGGUUGGAAAGUUUCGGCGGUUGGGGGUGGACUCGCGGCUUAUCAGCUUGUUGGUGGGGUAGUGGCUUACCAAGGCUUUGACGGGUAGCCGGCCUGAGAGGGUGACCGGCCACAUUGGGACUGAGAUACGGCCCAGACUCCUACGGGAGGCAGCAGUGGGGAAUAUUGCACAAUGGGCGGAAGCCUGAUGCAGCAACGCCGCGUGCGGGAUGACGGCCUUCGGGUUGUAAACCGCUUUCGCCUGUGACGAAGCGUGAGUGACGGUAAUGGGUAAAGAAGCACCGGCUAACUACGUG